CCUACGGGAGGCAGUAGUGGGGAAUAUUGGACAAUGGGGGGAACCCUGAUCCAGCCAUGCCGCGUGUGUGAAGAAGGCCCUCGGGUUGUAAAGCACUUUCAGUGAGGAAGAACGCCUGGUGGUUAAUACCCAUCAGGAAAGACAUCACUCACAGAAGAAGCACCGGCUAACUCCGUGCCAGCAGCCGCGGUAAUACGGAGGGUGCGAGCGUUAAUCGGAAUUACUGGGCGUAAAGCGCGCGUAGGUGGCUUGAUAAGCCGGUUGUGAAAGCCCCGGGCUCAACCUGGGAACGGCAUCCGGAACUGUCAAGCUAGAGUGCAGGAGAGGAAGGUAGAAUUCCCGGUGUAGCGGUGAAAUGCGUAGAGAUCGGGAGGAAUACCAGUGGCGAAGGCGGCCUUCUGGACUGCCACUGACACUGAGGUGCGAAAGCGUGGGUAGCAAACAGGAUUAGAUACCCCUGUAGUC
RNAcentral lists this ribosomal RNA (465 nucleotides) under Vreelandella stevensii. Its description in RNAcentral is "partial 16S ribosomal RNA". It matches the Rfam family "Bacterial small subunit ribosomal RNA", at positions 338 to 795 of the family's 1533-position model. The record is from RNAcentral. Lineage: Bacteria; Pseudomonadati; Pseudomonadota; Gammaproteobacteria; Oceanospirillales; Halomonadaceae.